GAUGAACGCUGGCGGCGUGCCUAAUACAUGCAAGUCGAGCGAACGGACGAGAAUCUUGCUUCUCUGAUGUUAGCGGCGGACGGGUGAGUAACACGUGGAUAACCUACCUAUAAGACUGGGAUAACUUCGGGAAACCGGAGCUAAUACCGGAUAAUAUUUUGAACCGCAUGGUUCAAAAGUGAAAGACGGUCUUGCUGUCACUUAUAGAUGGAUCCGCGCUGCAUUAGCUAGUUGGUAAGGUAACGGCUUACCAAGGCAACGAUGCAUAGCCGACCUGAGAGGGUGAUCGGCCACACUGGAACUGAGACACGGUCCAGACUCCUACGGGAGGCAGCAGUAGGGAAUCUUCCGCAAUGGGCGAAAGCCUGACGGAGCAACGCCGCGUGAGUGAUGAAGGUCUUCGGAUCGUAAAACUCUGUUAUUAGGGAAGAACAUAUGUGUAAGUAACUGUGCACAGCUUGACGGUACCUAAUCAGAAAGCCACGGCUAACUACGUG
This 497-nucleotide ribosomal RNA is filed under the name uncultured bacterium. RNAcentral's name for it is "partial 16S ribosomal RNA". It matches the Rfam family "Bacterial small subunit ribosomal RNA", at positions 28 to 507 of the family's 1533-position model. The record is from RNAcentral.